ACAUAUUGUUAGACGUUUUAGCUAUUUCAGUAUUUCAGUGUAUCCAUACUUGAUAUUUAUUUUAGACUUAUAGUUAUUUAAAUUAGUUUAGCUUCUGCUUAAUUUAUAUUUAUAAAUUCCCUAGUGUCAUGUCAGGCUAUGGGAGCUAGGGGUCUCUUAGGAUUCUAAGCACUGUGUUAUGUCCAGGUUGUAGACUUGAGUCAUGCCAUAAGAGCUCUGACAGUGCCC
This 228-nucleotide long non-coding RNA is filed under the name Capsicum annuum. RNAcentral's name for it is "long non-coding RNA (CANN_LNC002342)". The record is from RNAcentral. Lineage: Eukaryota; Viridiplantae; Streptophyta; Magnoliopsida; Solanales; Solanaceae.